UGCCCAGCAGCUCCUAUCCCUACCUCCUCGUGGUACUGGCCGGGGUAUGAGCAACCUUAGGGAAGAUCGGAUAACCAACCCCGGUGGGAACUUUGGUCGUAUGCUGAUAGGGAAUUGG
Non-coding RNA from Aedes aegypti (yellow fever mosquito), 118 nucleotides. The record is from Rfam. NCBI's taxonomy places the organism in Eukaryota, Metazoa, Arthropoda, Insecta, Diptera, Culicidae.